This 76-nucleotide transfer RNA is filed under the name Pseudomonadota bacterium. RNAcentral describes it as "Proteobacteria bacterium (cold seep metagenome) tRNA-Gly". It matches the Rfam family "tRNA". From Rfam's summary of the family: Transfer RNA (tRNA) molecules are approximately 80 nucleotides in length. Their secondary structure includes four short double-helical elements and three loops (D, anti-codon, and T loops). Lineage: Bacteria; Pseudomonadati; Pseudomonadota. RNAcentral also lists the same sequence under 1 other name. The record is from RNAcentral.
GCGGGGAUAGCUCAGUUGGUAGAGCGCUAGCCUUCCAAGCUGGAUGUCGCGGGUUCGAGUCCCGUUCCCCGCUCCA